GCCCCCAUAGUUUAAUGGUUAGAACAUCGGUCUCAUAGCUCGCUUAGGCGUUAUGAUCGUGUGCAAAACAUGCGGAUAUCCGGUGAUCCAAGUUCGAUUCUUGGUGGAGUACG
Molecule: non-coding RNA, 113 nt
Organism: Extremus antarcticus
Lineage: Eukaryota; Fungi; Ascomycota; Dothideomycetes; Mycosphaerellales; Extremaceae
Source: the annotation of a GenBank genome assembly